This 348-nucleotide ribosomal RNA is filed under the name uncultured bacterium. RNAcentral's name for it is "partial 16S ribosomal RNA". It matches the Rfam family "Bacterial small subunit ribosomal RNA", at positions 338 to 698 of the family's 1533-position model. The record is from RNAcentral.
CCUACGGGAGGCUGCAGUCGAGAAUCAUUCACAAUGGGGGAAACCUGAUGGUGCGACGCCGCGUGGGGGAAUGAAGGUCUUCGGAUUGUAAACCCCUGUCAUGUGGGAGCAAAUUAAAAAGAUAGUACCACAAGAGGAAGAGACGGCUAACUCUGUGCCAGCAGCCGCGGUAAUACAGAGGUCUCAAGCGUUGAUCGGAAUCACUGGGCGUAAAGCGUGCGUAGGCUGUUUCGUAAGUCGUGGGUGAAAGGCGCAGGCUCAACCCGCGGACGGCACAUGAUACUGCGUGGCUAGAGAAAUGGAGGGGGAGCCGGAAUGCUCGGUGUAGCGGUGAAAUGCGUAGAUAUC